AUCUGACUCACCUAGACGUGUUUGUGGAUAUUCUACUGAAAUGUACGCUGGCCAGAUGGGACUGAUAAGCAAGAUCUUGUACUAUUGUAUAGUUGAGCACCUCCUCUGAGCUUGGUCUUUGACUUCAGUGACACUAUGCAAUUUCCUGGGCAGCUUUUUCUGGCGAGGUGAGAUGUGAUGCCUUGACUUUCUUCUUUGGUAUGGGAAGAUAUGUUUUCACCUAGCAGCUCUCAGAGGGAAAAAUAGCUAGUUCAGUGAAUGUGGACAGAUGUAAAGGCAAGAAAAUUCAACUCAUUUUAUCUGAAGAAUGAUUUGCAUAGGUCAUAAUUACACGUUACCAUGGAUACCCUGCAGAGACCCUCAGACUAGUAUCACACAGUCUGUGAUACCUGCUCACUAUCCAGGCACAGCAAAGUUCUUGAUUGAUAUGACUGAAAACUACCUGCAACAAUACAACAGGAGGCAAGCAUCAGAAAACUGAAACAAAAUGAGGACAGUAGCUCUUUUAAAGAAAAAGAGAGAUGACAAGAUAAUCCAUUCUCAGAAUGAAUGCCCAGAUAUCAGCAGUAUAUUGAGAGCUGAAUAUUCAUAACCAUUUGCUUGAAGGCAAACAGACUGCAGACUUAUUAGAGAAAAUGCUUGUCAGAAAAUGGUGUGAUGUGGGUUCCUUCUUGCUAAUAGGAGGUACUUCAUGAGCAGGUACUUCACCAAUCCUGUAAUAAACAGGAUAUAUUUUUGCUCUUGUGCA
RNAcentral lists this long non-coding RNA (748 nucleotides) under Phasianus colchicus (ring-necked pheasant). RNAcentral's name for it is "lncRNA (ENSPCLG00000000974.1)". The record is from RNAcentral. Lineage: Eukaryota; Metazoa; Chordata; Aves; Galliformes; Phasianidae.